This 3027-nucleotide ribosomal RNA is filed under the name Shewanella oncorhynchi. RNAcentral describes it as "23S ribosomal RNA". It matches the Rfam family "Bacterial large subunit ribosomal RNA". Lineage: Bacteria; Pseudomonadati; Pseudomonadota; Gammaproteobacteria; Alteromonadales; Shewanellaceae. The record is from RNAcentral.
GUUGUAUGGUUAAGCGACUAAGCGUAUACGGUGGAUGCCUUGGCAGUCAGAGGCGAUGAAGGACGUAGUAACUUGCGAAAAGCGUUGGCGAGCUAGUAACAAGCAUUUGAGCUAACGAUGUCCGAAUGGGGGAACCCAGCAGCAUAAGCUGUUAUCGCAACAUGAAUACAUAGUGUUGCGAGGCGAACGAGGGGAACUGAAACAUCUAAGUACCCUUAGGAAAAGAAAUCAACCGAGAUUCCCCUAGUAGCGGCGAGCGAACGGGGAUUAGCCCUUAAGUCAGUGGGGUGUUAGUGGAAUGCGUUGGAAAGCGCAGCGGCACAGGGUGAUAGCCCCGUACAUGAAAACUAACCAUUGAUGAAAACGAGUAAGGCGGGACACGUGACAUCCUGUUUGAAUAUGGGGGGACCAUCCUCCAAGGCUAAAUACUCCUGACUGACCGAUAGUGAACCAGUACCGUGAGGGAAAGGCGAAAAGAACCCCUGUGAGGGGAGUGAAAUAGAACCUGAAACCGUAUACGUACAAGCAGUGGGAGCGGUUCUUGAGACCGUGACUGCGUACCUUUUGUAUAAUGGGUCAGCGACUUACAUUUUGUAGCGAGGUUAAGCGAAUAGCGGAGCCGUAGGGAAACCGAGUGUUAACUGCGCGUUUAGUUGCAAGGUGUAGACCCGAAACCCGGUGAUCUAGCCAUGGGCAGGUUGAAGGUUGAGUAACAUCAACUGGAGGACCGAACCGACUAAUGUUGAAAAAUUAGCGGAUGACUUGUGGCUGGGGGUGAAAGGCCAAUCAAACCGGGAGAUAUCUGGUUCUCCUCGAAAGCUAUUUAGGUAGCGCCUCGAGCGAAUACCAUUGGGGGUAGAGCACUGUUAAGGCUAGGGGGUCAUCCCGACUUACCAACCCUUUGCAAACUCCGAAUACCAAUGAGUACUACUCGGGAGACAGACGGCGGGUGCUAACGUCCGUCGUCAAAAGGGAAACAACCCAGACCGUCAGCUAAGGUCCCAAAGUACUAGCUAAGUGGGAAACGAUGUGGGAAGGCUUAGACAGCUAGGAUGUUGGCUUAGAAGCAGCCAUCAUUUAAAGAAAGCGUAAUAGCUCACUAGUCGAGUCGGCCUGCGCGGAAGAUGUAACGGGGCUAAGCUAGUCACCGAAGCUACGGGUGCACAGUUUACUGUGCGCGGUAGAGGAGCGUUCUGUAAGCCGUUGAAGGUGAAGGGGUAACCCACGCUGGAGGUAUCAGAAGUGCGAAUGCUGACAUGAGUAACGAUAAAGGGGGUGAAAAACCCCCUCGCCGAAAGACCAAGGGUUCCUGUCCAACGUUAAUCGGGGCAGGGUGAGUCGACCCCUAAGGUGAGGCCGAAAGGCGUAAUCGAUGGGAAACAGAUUAAUAUUUCUGUACUUCCGCUAACUGCGAUGGAGAGACGGAGAAGGCUAGGCUAGCGCGGCGUUGGUAGUCCGCGUUUAAGGUGGUAGGUGGUGUUCUUAGGCAAAUCCGGGGACACGUACUUAAAUGUACACACUGAGAGCUGAUGACGAGGUCCUAAGGGACUGAAGUAGUUGAUGCCAUGCUUCCAGGAAAAUCUUCUAAGCUUCAGGUUAGUGGGAAUCGUACCCCAAACCGACACAGGUGGUCGGGUAGAGAAUACCAAGGCGCUUGAGAGAACUCGGCUGAAGGAACUAGGCAAAAUGGUACCGUAACUUCGGGAGAAGGUACGCUCUNNNNNNNNNNNNNNNNNNNNNNNNNNNNNNNNNNNNNNNNNNNNNNNNNNNNNNNNNNNNNNNNNNNNNNNNNNNNNNNNNNNNNNNNNNNNNNNNUCUUGUUGGUGAUGAGACUUGCUCUCUAAGCUGACGGGAGUCGCAGAUACCAGGUGGCUGCAACUGUUUAUCAAAAACACAGCACUGUGCAAACUCGCAAGAGGAAGUAUACGGUGUGACGCCUGCCCGGUGCCGGAAGGUUAAUUGAUUGGGUUAUCGCAAGAGAAGCUCAUGAUCGAAGCCCCGGUAAACGGCGGCCGUAACUAUAACGGUCCUAAGGUAGCGAAAUUCCUUGUCGGGUAAGUUCCGACCUGCACGAAUGGCGUAAUGAUGGCCACGCUGUCUCCAGCCGAGACUCAGUGAAGUUGAAAUUGCGGUGAAGAUGCCGUAUACCCGCGGCUAGACGGAAAGACCCCGUGAACCUUUACUAUAGCUUGGCACUGAACAUUGAACCUACAUGUGUAGGAUAGGUGGGAGACUAUGAAGUUGUGACGCUAGUCAUGAUGGAGUCGUCCUUGAAAUACCACCCUUGUAGUUUUGAUGUUCUAACCUAGGUCCCUUAUCGGGAUUAGGGACAGUGCCUGGUGGGUAGUUUGACUGGGGCGGUCUCCUCCCAAAGAGUAACGGAGGAGCACGAAGGUUGGCUAAGUACGGUCGGACAUCGUACGGUUAGUGCAAUGGCAUAAGCCAGCUUAACUGCGAGACAUACACGUCGAGCAGGUACGAAAGUAGGUCAUAGUGAUCCGGUGGUUCUGAAUGGAAGGGCCAUCGCUCAACGGAUAAAAGGUACUCCGGGGAUAACAGGCUGAUACCGCCCAAGAGUUCAUAUCGACGGCGGUGUUUGGCACCUCGAUGUCGGCUCAUCACAUCCUGGGGCUGAAGUCGGUCCCAAGGGUAUGGCUGUUCGCCAUUUAAAGUGGUACGCGAGCUGGGUUCAGAACGUCGUGAGACAGUUCGGUCCCUAUCUGCCGUGGGCGUUGGAUGAUUGAAGGGAGCUGCUCCUAGUACGAGAGGACCGGAGUGGACGAACCGCUGGUGUUCGGGUUGUCAUGCCAAUGGCAUUGCCCGGUAGCUACGUUCGGAAUCGAUAACCGCUGAAAGCAUCUAAGCGGGAAGCGAGCCCUAAGAUGAGUCAUCCCUAGGAAUUUAAUUCCUCUAAAGAGCCGUUCGAGACUAGGACGUUGAUAGGCAUGGUGUGUAAGCGUUGUGAGGCGUUGAGCUAACAUGUACUAAUGACUCGAGAGGCUUAACCAUACAACCCAGAUGGGUUUU